GUGGUAUAGCCAAGUGGUAAGGCACAGGUCUGCAAAACCUUGAUCACCGGUUCAAAUCCGGUUACCA
This 67-nucleotide transfer RNA is filed under the name uncultured Limosilactobacillus sp. It matches the Rfam family "tRNA". From Rfam's summary of the family: Transfer RNA (tRNA) molecules are approximately 80 nucleotides in length. Their secondary structure includes four short double-helical elements and three loops (D, anti-codon, and T loops). The record is from RNAcentral. Lineage: Bacteria; Bacillati; Bacillota; Bacilli; Lactobacillales; Lactobacillaceae.